Molecule: long non-coding RNA, 403 nt
Organism: Pan troglodytes (chimpanzee)
Lineage: Eukaryota; Metazoa; Chordata; Mammalia; Primates; Hominidae
Exons: 5
Source: RefSeq, a predicted model, not a curated record
GCACAGAUGGGAUUUUUCAAAUGAAAACCAGAUGAAAGUAAACAUCAGUCUCACCAUCGAAACUAAAGUAUUCAGCUGGGUACUCUUCUCUGGUCCUGGAGCUUAGGACAAGACCUACUCCAGAAUUUGGAGCCACAGUGGAAUCAGGUAUGAAAAUGCUGAGGACUCAGUGCAAACGUCCUGACCCACCUGAAACAACUCAAGCCAUUUUUGAUACUGCUGGUCCUAGAAUUUCAGUGUGACUGCUACUGGUAGAAUGAAUGCUCCACCAUCUCUGCUCCUUAGCAAACACCAAUCAAAAGCCUGAAGUGGGAGAAACUGCUUGGCAAGAUUGACUGGAAAACAAAACAAAACAAAACAAAACGAUAAAACAGGAAAUUCACCUUGAGAAAAACAUCAAGCA